Molecule: ribosomal RNA, 253 nt
Filed under: uncultured bacterium
Lineage: Bacteria
Description: partial 16S ribosomal RNA
Rfam family: Bacterial small subunit ribosomal RNA
Source: RNAcentral
UACGAAGGGGGCGAGCGUUGUUCGGAAUUACUGGGCGUAAAGGGCGCGUAGGCGGCCCCUUUUGUCGGGUGUGAAAGCCCCGGGCUCAACCUGGGAAUUGCAUUCGAGACUGCGUAGCUAGGGUGCGGAAGAGGGAAGCGGAAUUUCCGGUGUAGCGGUGAAAUGCGUAGAUAUCGGAAGGAACACCAGUGGCGAAAGCGGCUUCCUGGUCCAGCACCGACGUUCAGGCACGAAAGCGUGGGGAGCAAACAGG